RNAcentral lists this ribosomal RNA (3007 nucleotides) under Salmonella enterica. RNAcentral's name for it is "23S ribosomal RNA". It matches the Rfam family "Bacterial large subunit ribosomal RNA". Lineage: Bacteria; Pseudomonadati; Pseudomonadota; Gammaproteobacteria; Enterobacterales; Enterobacteriaceae. RNAcentral also lists the same sequence under 2 other names. The record is from RNAcentral.
GGUUAAGCGACUAAGCGUACACGGUGGAUGCCCUGGCAGUCAGAGGCGAUGAAGGGCGUGCUAAUCUGCGAUAAGCGCCGGUAAGGUGAUAUGAACCGUUAUAACCGGCGAUACCCGAAUGGGGAAACCCAGUGUGACUCGUCACACUAUCAUUAACUGAAUCCAUAGGUUAAUGAGGCGAACCGGGGGAACUGAAACAUCUAAGUACCCCGAGGAAAAGAAAUCAACCGAGAUUCCCCCAGUAGCGGCGAGCGAACGGGGAGGAGCCCAGAGCCUGAAUCAGCAUGUGUGUUAGUGGAAGCGUCUGGAAAGGCGCGCGAUACAGGGUGACAGCCCCGUACACAAAAGCGCAUGUGCUGUGAGCUCGAUGAGUAGGGCGGGACACGUGGUAUCCUGUCUGAAUAUGGGGGGACCAUCCUCCAAGGCUAAAUACUCCUGACUGACCGAUAGUGAACCAGUACCGUGAGGGAAAGGCGAAAAGAACCCCGGCGAGGGGAGUGAAAAAGAACCUGAAACCGUGUACGUACAAGCAGUGGGAGCCCCACCACUAAGCCAGUGGUGAACUCCACAUACGCAUCCUUUGCUGAGGAUACGGUUAACGGAGCGAAAGCGACGUUCAACCGCAAAAGAAGCAGAGGGGGCUUAGUGGUGGGGUGACUGCGUACCUUUUGUAUAAUGGGUCAGCGACUUAUAUUCUGUAGCAAGGUUAACCGAAUAGGGGAGCCGUAGGGAAACCGAGUCUUAACCGGGCGUUAAGUUGCAGGGUAUAGACCCGAAACCCGGUGAUCUAGCCAUGGGCAGGUUGAAGGUUGGGUAACACUAACUGGAGGACCGAACCGACUAAUGUUGAAAAAUUAGCGGAUGACCUGUGGCUGGGGGUGAAAGGCCAAUCAAACCGGGAGAUAGCUGGUUCUCCCCGAAAGCUAUUUAGGUAGCGCCUCGUGAAUUCAUCUCCGGGGGUAGAGCACUGUUUCGGCUAGGGGGCCAUCCCGGCUUACCAACCCGAUGCAAACUGCGAAUACCGGAGAAUGUUAUCACGGGAGACACACGGCGGGUGCUAACGUCCGUCGUGAAGAGGGAAACAACCCAGACCGCCAGCUAAGGUCCCAAAGUCAUGGUUAAGUGGGAAACGAUGUGGGAAGGCCCAGACAGCCAGGAUGUUGGCUUAGAAGCAGCCAUCAUUUAAAGAAAGCGUAAUAGCUCACUGGUCGAGUCGGCCUGCGCGGAAGAUGUAACGGGGCUAAACCAUGCACCGAAGCUGCGGCAGCGACACUCAGGUGUUGUUGGGUAGGGGAGCGUUCUGUAAGCCUGUGAAGGUGUGUCGUGAGGCAUGCUGGAGGUAUCAGAAGUGCGAAUGCUGACAUAAGUAACGAUAAAGCGGGUGAAAAGCCCGCUCGCCGGAAGACCAAGGGUUCCUGUCCAACGUUAAUCGGGGCAGGGUGAGUCGACCCCUAAGGCGAGGCCGAAAGGCGUAGUCGAUGGGAAACAGGUUAAUAUUCCUGUACUUGGUGUUACUGCGAAGGGGGGACGGAGAAGGCUAUGUUGGCCGGGCGACGGUUGUCCCGGUUUAAGCGUGUAGGUGUGUGUUCCAGGUAAAUCCGGUUCACUUUAACACUGAGGCGUGACGACGAGGCACUACGGUGCUGAAGCAACAAAUGCCCUGCUUCCAGGAAAAGCCUCUAAGCAUCAGGUAACAUCAAAUCGUACCCCAAACCGACACAGGUGGUCAGGUAGAGAAUACCAAGGCGCUUGAGAGAACUCGGGUGAAGGAACUAGGCAAAAUGGUGCCGUAACUUCGGGAGAAGGCACGCUGACACGUAGGUGAAGUGAUUUACUCAUGGAGCUGAAGUCAGUCGAAGAUACCAGCUGGCUGCAACUGUUUAUUAAAAACACAGCACUGUGCAAACACGAAAGUGGACGUAUACGGUGUGACGCCUGCCCGGUGCCGGAAGGUUAAUUGAUGGGGUCAGCGCAAGCGAAGCUCCUGAUCGAAGCCCCGGUAAACGGCGGCCGUAACUAUAACGGUCCUAAGGUAGCGAAAUUCCUUGUCGGGUAAGUUCCGACCUGCACGAAUGGCGUAAUGAUGGCCAGGCUGUCUCCACCCGAGACUCAGUGAAAUUGAACUCGCUGUGAAGAUGCAGUGUACCCGCGGCAAGACGGAAAGACCCCGUGAACCUUUACUAUAGCUUGACACUGAACAUUGAGCCUUGAUGUGUAGGAUAGGUGGGAGGCUUUGAAGCGUGGACGCCAGUCUGCGUGGAGCCGACCUUGAAAUACCACCCUUUAAUGUUUGAUGUUCUAACGUGGACCCGUAAUCCGGGUUGCGGACAGUGUCUGGUGGGUAGUUUGACUGGGGCGGUCUCCUCCUAAAGAGUAACGGAGGAGCACGAAGGUUGGCUAAUCCUGGUCGGACAUCAGGAGGUUAGUGCAAUGGCAUAAGCCAGCUUGACUGCGAGCGUGACGGCGCGAGCAGGUGCGAAAGCAGGUCAUAGUGAUCCGGUGGUUCUGAAUGGAAGGGCCAUCGCUCAACGGAUAAAAGGUACUCCGGGGAUAACAGGCUGAUACCGCCCAAGAGUUCAUAUCGACGGCGGUGUUUGGCACCUCGAUGUCGGCUCAUCACAUCCUGGGGCUGAAGUAGGUCCCAAGGGUAUGGCUGUUCGCCAUUUAAAGUGGUACGCGAGCUGGGUUUAGAACGUCGUGAGACAGUUCGGUCCCUAUCUGCCGUGGGCGCUGGAGAACUGAGGGGGGCUGCUCCUAGUACGAGAGGACCGGAGUGGACGCAUCACUGGUGUUCGGGUUGUCAUGCCAAUGGCACUGCCCGGUAGCUAAAUGCGGAAGAGAUAAGUGCUGAAAGCAUCUAAGCACGAAACUUGCCCCGAGAUGAGUUCUCCCUGAGACUUUAGGUCUCCUGAAGGAACGUUGAAGACGACGACGUUGAUAGGCCGGGUGUGUAAGCGCAGCGAUGCGUUGAGCUAACCGGUACUAAUGAACCGUGAGGCUUAACCUU